This is an RNA transcript of Nycticebus coucang (slow loris), 4122 nucleotides long. It is a transcript of the gene named nucleolin-like, with no coding region annotated. Lineage: Eukaryota; Metazoa; Chordata; Mammalia; Primates; Lorisidae. The record is from RefSeq and is a predicted model, not a curated record. The transcript is spliced from 7 exons.
GCCUUAGGCCCUUUUGACCUACACUUGGGCUACCUAGUGACACCGAUUUCACAGCCACUUUUUUUUUUUGAGACAGAAGCCUCAAGCCGUUGCCCUGGGUAGAGUAGCAUCACAGCUCACAGCAACCUCCAACUCCCGGGCUCAAGCGAUUCUCUUGCCUCCGCCUCCCAAGUAGCUGGGACUACAGGCGCCUGCCACAACGCCCGGCUAUUCCUUGGCUGCAGCCGUCCUUGUUGUUUGGCGAGCCCAGGCUGGAUUCGAACCCGCCAGCUCAGGUGUAUGUGGCUGCUGCCUUAGUCGCUUGAGCCACAGGCGCCGAGUCCACAGCCACAUUAUAAUGGGUGUAUUUAUUCCAAAUAACAGAGAAGGAACCUGUGAAUUAGGAAAGGCCCGCCUCUAUGGUCAGUCUGCCCAAACCCCUCUCCCAACUCCACAGUCCCAAUACCCUGUGACUGCCAGACAGUUACUUCUCCGAAGCUGCUUCCCAUUAGGAGGAAUAACUACAUGCGGUUACCCUGAGAUUAAAUGGCAUGUUUGUGUACUACUUACAGUAAACUUCACGAACAUUCGCGACUGCCUUUAUUUACAGCUCUCAGGAGGCUGUUUCAGACUCGUGGCCCCAGAGGGAAAUCUCUACAGGCGGAGGGGUCCUUCGCCUCAGUCUGGAGCUGUAGCUGGCAGCGCGGCGUACGUGCUCCGAGAGCUUCUGUACCCUCGGCCGCCGCCGACAUAGCUUGAUUCCUCUAGAUUUGUCUGCGCCACUUGCCCGAUACACGCUCCGCCGUCGUAAGCCGCCAUCAUGGUGAAGCUCGCAAAGGCAGGUAAAAAUCAAGGUGACCCCAAGAAAAUGGCUCCUCCCCCAAAGGAGGUAGAAGAAGACAGUGAAGAUGAGGAAAUGUCAGAAGAUGAGGAUGAUGACAGCAGUGAGGAAGAGGUUAUUGUCUCUCAGAAGAAAGGCAAGAAGGCUACUGCAACCCCAGCAAAGAAAGUGGUGGUUUCUGCAACAAAAAAGGUUGCAAUUGCCACACCUGCCAAGGAAGCAGCUGUCACCCCAGGCAAAAAGGCAGCAGCCCCACAGGCCGAGAAGAUGGUUACUCCAGCCAAAGCAGUAGCAACACCCGGCAAAAAGGGAGGCACACCCGGCAAAGCAUUGGUAGCAACCCCUGGUAAGAAGGGAGCAGCCACUCCAGCCAAGGGGGCAAAGAACGGCAAGAAUGCCAAGAAGGAAGACAGUGAUGAUGAUGAUGAGGACGAUGACAGUGAGGAGGAGGAUGAAGAGGAAGAUGAGGAAGAAGAAGAGGAUGAAUUUGAACCAGCAGUGAUGAAAGCAGCAGCGGCUGCUCUUGCCUCAGAGGAUGAUAAAGAUGAAGAUGAUGAGAAUGAGGAGGAUGACUCUGGAGAAGAAGCCAUGGAGACCACACCAGCCAAAGGAAAGAAAGCUCCUACAAAAGUUGUUCCUGUGAAAGCUAAGAGUGUGGCUGAGGAGGAGGAUGAAGAUGGUGAGGAAAAGGAAGAAGAGCCUGUCAAAGAAGCACUUGGAAAACGAAAGAAGGAAAUGAUGAAACAGAAAGUGGAAGAAAGUUUGGGUGUGUGGAUUUUGAAUCUGCUGAAGACCUGGAAAAAGCCUUGGAGCUCACUGGUUUGAAAGUCUUUGGCAAUGAAAUUAAACUAGAGAAACCAAAAGGGAAAGACAGUAAGAAAGCAAAUCAUCCGAUGACAAUGGAUCAUGUAGAGAAGAAUGCUAAGAAAAGAAAAUAUAGUGAGGAUUUCUUACAGUAUGGUUUUACCUCAAUAAUUACAGCAGGAAUUGAGAAUCCACAAUGUAUUAUUUGUUGUGAAGUUCUAUCAGCUGAAUGUAUGAAACCGAACAAACUAAAACACCAUUUUGAUAGCAAGCAUCCGAGCUUUGCCGACAAGGAUACCAACUAUUUUAGAAGCAAAGCUGAUGGACUCAAGAAAGCCAGACUUGACACUGGUGGCAAGUAGCACAAACAAAACAUAGCAGCCGUUGAAGCUUCAUAUUUGGUGGCACUCAGAAUCGCCAGAGCUGUGAAACCUCACACCACUGCUGAGGAUUUACUGUUGCCAGCAGCCAAAGACGUUGUUUGAGUUACGAUCAGAGAUAAAUUUGUUACGAAAUUAAGUGCAAUUUCCUUACCUAACGACACUGUCCGCAGAACAGAUGACCUGUCUGCUGAUAUUCCUAAUCAGGUAAUCCAGGAAAUUAGAUCUGCCCCACUUCCACUAUUUAGUAUCCAGCUUGAUGAACUACAGACGUUGCAAACUGUUCACAGUUACUGGUUUACGUGAGGUAUAUUAAUGAUGGCGACUUUAAAGAUGAGCUUCUUUUUUGCAAACCUCUUGAAACAACAAGUACUGCAUGUGAUGUAUUUGACACAGUGGGUUCAUUUCUGAAAGAGCAUAAGAUCUCUUGGGGAAAGGUUUGUGGUGUUUGCACAGAUGGUGCUCCAGCUAUGCUAGGAUGUCAGUCUGGAUUUCAACGUUUGGUACUAAAUGAGUCACCAAAAGUCCUUGGAACUCACUGUGUGAUUCAUGGGCAAAUAUUAGCAAUGAAGACACUGCCACAAGAGUUACAAGAAGUAAUGAAAAGCAUCCUAAGUUCUGUCAAUUUUGUAAAGGCGAGCGCUUUAAACAGUCGACUGUUUUCACAACUAUGCAAUGAGUUGUGCCCCAGCCCGCGGGGAAUUCAACGGGGACCUGGGAAACAAAGGGGUCAGUCGAAUGAGGGGACAAGAAACACGAAAGAAUGAGAGCAAGUCAAGAGUCUGAUCAAGCUCCGUCGAGUUUAUUUUUCAGCUGGACUUACAAGCACACAAACGAGGAAGUAACUAAGGGCUAUUCCUAACAGGGCGGGGAGGGGGCUAGUUUCUGGAAAAUUACUAGGAGAAGGACCCUAAGGCGGGUGGUGCAUUUUUGAGGAGAUACGCAAGGGGAAAGUACCAUUGCUGUUUACGGUUGAAUUCCUGAGAAUAGUUUGCUUGUAAAAUCAAGAUAGCAAGGGGCAUUUUUGUGAUAUGUUUUGGCUCCCGGCAUCUCCUCCCUUUUAGUUUUUUAAAUUGUUGGGGUCUGUCAGUUGUCGGCGUAGAAGAGAGGGCAUUAACCUUUUGGGGGGAAGUAUUGACCUGAUUCCUCCCGCGGGCAUAAUGACCACAUGAUAAGUUUGAGCGUCUUUUGGGGAGGAGAGGAGAAAUUUUUAAGACGCUAACCUCUAUGCAAAUCAGGUUUGCUUCCAAGGGAUUCAGAGAAGCUGUUUAUGCCUUCCCUCUGCAGUGUCUUUAUUGCACCCCGUAAAAAGGUACCCAGGUUGUACUCACAUAUGAUGGUGAGUCAACGUGCAUAGCUCUGAGUGCUUACGCGGUUCCCGGAGGAAUAUCUUCGUUGGCAAGGCCCCGGUCUGCAAGGUCGAGUCUAUGAUAAUGGACUUGAAUGGGUUUUGAUGCCAGGGAGUCAAUCUGUGAUUUGAUAAAAUUCAUGAUUUUGUUAAGAAUAAUGGGUCCAAGGGUGAUUAUUAAUAGCAAGAAUAAGGGGACCUGCAAGGGGCAUGAGUAAGGAGUACAUGGAGGAUUUCCACCACUCGUUUGCCUCAGAAGAAAAUUUUUGUUUUUGUAAAUCUAAGCUAAGCUUAUGAAGUUUGUCAAUCUGUGUUUUCGAGUUUUCAGUUAAAUAAAAGCGCCAAGUGAAGGGCUUGGUAACUGCUGGAACAGGUUGGCCCAGUGCUGGAAGGCAGAAGAUCAGGAGAUAAGGCAGCAUCAUGGAUGGAACUCCGUGGUUCUGGAAGGGAAAGGAGAAAGAUAAUCUCAGGGAGGUUUUUCUCCCUGGAUUUUAGAAUUGCUAUCAAUUUGUUUUACUAAUCUUUCAGGCAGCCAUCUGGCUGCAUUUUCUUUCAUAUUUGGACUGCACAUAAUUAGUCUUAGUUGGGCCAGGAUGUCUCUGCCCCAGAGAUUGACUGGGAGGCCAGGCACAACAUAAGGUUGGACAGUACCAGUGUUGCCUUCCUCGUCUGUCCAUUUGAGGAUUUCAGCACUCUGUUGGGGGUUGGAGGUUUGGCCAAUACCCCGGAGAUGGGUUAGGGAAGUAGUGAGGGGCCAGGAAGGGGGCCAG